This is a transfer RNA of Cavia porcellus (domestic guinea pig), 72 nucleotides long. It matches the Rfam family "tRNA". Rfam says of the family: Transfer RNA (tRNA) molecules are approximately 80 nucleotides in length. The record is from Rfam. NCBI's taxonomy places the organism in Eukaryota, Metazoa, Chordata, Mammalia, Rodentia, Caviidae.
GGGGAUUUAGCUCAGUGGCACGGCAUUUGCCUGGCAAGCACAAGGUCCUGAGUUCAAUCCCUGGCACCCCCC